CACCCAGGUCCCCGAGACAGCCCUGAGGGAGCCCCAUGUGUUUUCUUUAUAUGAUCAGGCCUCUCAUAGCUGCUGCUGGGUUGGAGCCUGAGAGGAUUGUGAAAAUGGGGCAGCGUUACCAGCUGUUCUGGAA
Mus pahari (shrew mouse) is the source of this 133-nucleotide non-coding RNA. RefSeq annotates it as small Cajal body-specific RNA 17. The transcript has a single exon. Lineage: Eukaryota; Metazoa; Chordata; Mammalia; Rodentia; Muridae. The record is from RefSeq and is a predicted model, not a curated record.